CACUGCUAUAGAUGAGGAGGAGGCCCUGAAGUGUUCUAGCAAGGGAAACAGGAAAGAACUGAUGGAGGGAAACCAGUAAAGAAGUAACUACAGGAUCUGAUUAAGCUCUAAGGAAACAGAAAACAAGAUUGACUGAUGACAGAUUGAUCAAUCAAUCAUGGGAUGAAGGUGAUACGUAUUAGAAGAAAGGAUGAUCCCUUUCCCAAAAAAGCUGGAAGCAUCCUGAGAACAGAACUGCAGUGUUGUCUACAAAAUACAUAGCUCAUCCACAGCCAGUGCCUGACAUGAAAAAGCUCAAAAAGUAUUUGCUGAGUGGAUGAUGAAUAUUAGGUAAUAUUUAGACACGGACUUUACGGAUUGAUGGUGGGUGGACCAAGGUUUGAGCGUGGCAUGUCCUCAAUAUUGUUGGAUUAUUGUGGUUAUAGGACAUUAUUUAAAAGGUAGCUUUCAAACACUCUUAAGCAGUUCAACAUGAAAAGUCUGUAAUGUGAAGACAAGGUGAACCAAUCAAGGUGAUUUAUUGCUGCAAUGGUAAACCAAGAACAGGAUGAUAAAUGGGCUAAGGUCCUUGUGCAUCUUGCUAUAAAUGAGUGCACCAGGAGUGGAAUUCAUUAAGUAACUUUGGAGCUCUCUGCCAUUUAGAAGGCACAUCAUGGCCUUCUUUGGCCACCAAAGUUUAACAAUCCUUUUCAAAAUUAAUCUCUGUUCU
RNAcentral lists this long non-coding RNA (709 nucleotides) under Rhinopithecus bieti (black snub-nosed monkey). RNAcentral describes it as "lncRNA (ENSRBIG00000045931.1)". The record is from RNAcentral. Lineage: Eukaryota; Metazoa; Chordata; Mammalia; Primates; Cercopithecidae.